Molecule: long non-coding RNA, 3324 nt
Organism: Tigriopus californicus
Lineage: Eukaryota; Metazoa; Arthropoda; Copepoda; Harpacticoida; Harpacticidae
Exons: 7
Source: RefSeq, a predicted model, not a curated record
GUCGAGAAAUUGUUCAAAGGGGGAACAAAGAAGACCAUUGGUGUGAAGAGAGACAACAGGACGUCCAGAGGAGCCACGAAAAGCUUGGGUUCUUUACUGUUGGCUUUUUGAACUCUGGAGAACCUUCUUGUGCAUAGUAUACCAUCAAUCCAAUUCCAGCUAUUAUUUCAACAAACAUACCAUAAUUGGAGAAAAUGGAUCGUUACUGGGGGCAGACACUAAAGAGGAAGACACCAUUGUAGAAGAUCCUUACUUGGACGUGGAAAUUUCUUCUCUUUAUGUCAAACGGAAGAAAUUUGGCCAUGUUGCUGUGGCCGAGACUCCCGAUUUUGUUGGAGCAAGAUUUGAAUCACGGCUGUGCAAGGUUUUAACAGCACAACCUAAUACCACUUGGCUCUGCAAUGACGACCAAUCUUUCGAAUAUGUCUUAAAGUUGUUCACUUCAAGUUCGAUCCCCGCCAAAACGGUAAAAAACGGGUCCUGUCUCUAUGCCAUUUUUUUGAGGGCCCAAAUGUAAAAAUAGUCAAUUUUAUGAUUUUUUUUUCUUUGCCGACAUGUAAAAUUUUGUAGCAAAUGAAUAUUGCCACUUUUUUCCCAACGAAAUUGUUGGAGAUGCACUUUCUCGAUUAUGAAGGUGCCAUUCCCAAGAUUGAGAAUUUUCUCGAGGAACAAACCCCCAUCGAAGAGAAAAUGCCCAUCUGGGAUUUUCAUGGCAAAUUCCAACAGGGGCAUGUUUGGUGUUGUCGAGAGCAACUGGACACUGGACACUGGCUUGCGAGGGAUAUUUCGUCUGGCUUUUGACCUAUUAAGGGAUCAAGCCAGACUUAAAAAAGAAUUGUACCAAGUGUACAAAAUUCCUCCUUUAAAGUGCUUUUUUCAUCUGUUUUCUACGCCCAACAUAACUCGAGCAGGUUACAAUCAUCGGCUCUACAGGUUGUUCCAUUCACUAAAUCCACGAGCAUCCUCGUCCAAAAUCUAUCCUAUCUCAAGAAACGGCGUGGGAGGCAAGGUCAAUGCUUCUCAUUUAGAGCAAAGGGCGAUCCAGUUCUUGUUGAAAAACAUGGGUUCUCAUGUGAAUGAGGGAGUCUAUCACUUUUGGUCGCCAUACGGCCCAUUCACUUUUGGUCGCUUGACUCCCGAUCUCCUCAUCAAGGCAAAACCGCAAAACCGUGCUUUUUUCAACCAGGCUCUCUCACGAAAGGUCAUGAACGAGAAAAUUGCAAAAUCUUUCCAAAGGACUUGUGUCAGUUAGAGAAAAAUAUUUUUGGGCUCGACUAUGCAGAGAGGAGGGCAUCUUGCCAAGCAACGAUGAACCUUGUUCCCACCGACAUUGAGGUAACUGAGCUCUGGGAGUGCGAGCUUAAAUUUAACCAAAGUUACCAACACUUUGUCCAAUACGAGUUCAAGGAGAAGCCAUUGACAAGACUUCGCCUGGAAGACGCCCUUUCUGGCGGCCUCAACGAGAUUAUACAACUUCAUUGGACUGUGAAAAAGAAACCCGAUGAGAGGUUUGUGGCGUAUGACAUUAAUUCGUUGUACAACUCCAUAGCCAUUGGUACAAAAUUUCCCGUGGGCAAACCUCAGAUUAUCACCGAAAGCGAGGAUAUUCACAUUGAAAACAAUAGAUUUCCUUAUGGGAGCGAAAGGCUGAUUGGAUUGGUGUUUUGUAGGUUAGUGGCCCCUCGUGAAUCAAAACUGGCUACAUUCCCAUUUUACUCGGUCAUCAGCAUCAUUGGGUUUUGUGUUAUGCAUGCCUUCGACAAGAGAAAAAGAUGUAUAUAAGCCUUGUACAAAGGCACGAAGUUUCCGUGGAACAUUCUACGUUGCUCAAGUAGAGUAUGUGCUAGAUAUGGGCUACCAAGCUUUGGAUGCUUUUGAGGCAUUACAUUACCAAAGUCAAGAGUAUUUUGAGAGGCCCUUUUUAUUGUUUUUUGCAAAGAAAAAACUUGAAUCUACUUUGGCAAAUAAGCUUGCAUCGAAAACGGAGAUUUUGGACAUGGAAAACGAAAUUAAUCUUGACAUUCCUGUGCUCAAACUUCGCACUUCUUCGAAUGAGCUAUCCCCUCUGCUUCAAGGAUUUUAUAAAAGGGCUCCCAACGAUAUCUUUGGGAAGUUCAUGGCCAAGCCGGGCUCCAACACCUCAAUUGUGCAUUCCAAUGCAGAAAUCUGCGAUGUCCUUUUUUCAAAGGCAAGACAACUCAGGGACGUCAAUCCAAUCACGGAACCUAUCUGCGAAGUGACAACGGAGUGUAUCACCGAUUGGUCCUUCAUUUGAGGCAACCUGAUGGCUGGAAUGGCCAAUGUUUUGGAAGCUCAAAUGUGUAUGCUACAAAAGAUGACGGCACUAAUGCAAAGGAAUGUCAAUGUAUUGGGAAUUGCCACCGAUUGCUUAUUUCUCAGCUACCCUAAGACACUUGAUCCUCCUGUGGAAGUGAGCUUGACAUUGGGCAAGUUCGAAAAUGCAUAUCCGCGCCAUGAAAAGGAUAAUUGCAUCAAAGAAUUCAUGGCACUCAAUUCGAGGGAUUAUUGCAUCCAAUUCAUGGACGGGCAAAUGGUAGUUAAGCUCGGAGGAUUCAAUCUAACGGCUCCGGUUUCCCGUGAAUCACUCAUGACCCAGUUUGCCUCAAUCAAGAAGGCAAUUUUGGAACGCAGAAGGUCUUGUCUUAAGAUUGAUCAAUUCCGAUUGAGAAAAGGCAUUGGAGUAUCACCGGUUAUAAAGAAAAUUGCGUUCAACUUCAGUCCAUACGUUUCCCGCCGUACUGUGUUUGAAAACAGCGAAGGCGAUUUGAAGACGUUACCAUUAGGAAUAAAGAGUCUCAAAUAACGGCUUUGAAACGGGCAAUGGCUAUUGCCACAAGCCUCUCUUCUUCCUCUUCCUCUUCCUCUUCUUCAAGUGCGGUUGCGGGUGAUGCGGGUGGAGGGGGAGACGGAGUGGCCAAACCAAAGGGCGGAAGCCUCUCUUCCCUUCCAAGUGAAAAGUUUGGAUCGGCCAAAUUGGAUAUGGAUGAAACCGCUCCUUCUCCAGAUGGGCUUUUCCGAGAUGUCACUGCAGUUCUUCCUCGCCUGACAAAACGCCAAAUCCCACAAAUGAGCACAAGCAUCACCAAAGCGGCAAUCGGACAAAACAAGCCGCCCACUCCUAACCAUAAGUCGAAUAUGCCUCCUGGAUCUGCCGAAUGACAAGCAACUGUCCAACAAGGAACGUUACUGAAAUGGAUAAAAAAUAGUUGAUUGAUCGGCAAGUUAAUCUGCAUUUAAAUUAUGAGUAUGAGUCUGAAUAAAAGACACAAAUUUAAAUGUUGCUUAAAUAAGUUGAUGCGAAAU